RNAcentral lists this ribosomal RNA (253 nucleotides) under uncultured bacterium. RNAcentral's name for it is "partial 16S ribosomal RNA". It matches the Rfam family "Bacterial small subunit ribosomal RNA", at positions 524 to 776 of the family's 1533-position model. The record is from RNAcentral.
UACGUAGGGUGCGAGCGUUGCCCGGAUUUAUUGGGCGUAAAGGGCGCGCAGGUGGUUCUGUGUGCUCCGCGUGAAAUCGCCCGGCUCAACCGGGCGGGGUCGCGGAUGACUACAGGACUGGAGCCUGGGAGGGGGAAGCGGAAUUCCCGGUGUAGUGGUGGAAUGCGUAGAUAUUGGGAGGAACACCAGUGGCGAAGGCGGCUCACUGGACCGGUACUGACGCUGAGGCGCGAAAGCGUGGGGAGCAAACGGG